AUUUAAAAUCUAAAAUUUCCAUGAUAUUCAGGCAUUGUAGAAUUAUGCUCCAUGCCACUAAAACUUUAUUGACAAAGACAAGAAGUGGGCCAGAGUUGGAGAGCCCAUUAGUUUGAACCCAGGCAGUCGUUAAAAAGGUUAUCUACAUCCUAGAGUUUUAAACAAUGGGUCUGGCUAAACUCUCAGGGGCAAGACUAGGAGUCGGGCCCUUAGAGUAGGGAGCAGAAUUUCACCUCUCCUCAAUAAGCAUUGGGACCAGUAUUGCUCCCAUUCCCAAAUGGCCAGGCUGGCGGGUCUCAAUAUGUGCUCCACAGAGAGAUAACAUAGGCAUUUUGCCAGAAAAAUGUUUUCUGGACUAGCCUUGGAUUCAGUAGUAGAACUCUUUCUAUGACUGCAGGACUUCUCCGGACUUUUAAUGUCCUGAGGAACAUUCUUAAUCUUGUCUUUCAAACUAAUUGGACAUUUAUGUAUAAUCCUUAGCUGUGCAGAGAGCGGGGGGGUGGGAGGUGUGUGGAGGGUUGUGCAGGGGAAGGUGUGACUUCAGGUUUGAACUGAUUUCCAUUUCAACAGCUGGGUGAGCUGGCUGAAGCCGUCAGAUUUAUUGAGCUGUUGCUAUUGUCCCGUUUUGUUUUGCUGUUGUUGUCUCAAUGGCCUUCUGAGUUUCCUAGUAGUGAUUACGAAGAAAACUCCUAAACUGAAUCAAAACAUCAGUGAAAAAGCAAAAACAAAGAACCGAAUCCCCACCAGCACAAUUCAGACCCUCUUGGCUAGGGUUGGUUUUCCACAGGCUGUGUUUAUUUCAAAAUGCACCUGCUUCCUUUUUUUCUCUCUCAUUUCCCAAGUGCCACUGAGAAUCCCUCCUUCUUGUCCAGGGACCCAAAAAGACCCCGUGGGGCAGGACCCACACUGGUCUUGGGCAGCACAUUCCCAGCAGAGCCUCCAGCCCUGUGGCCCCCUGCCCUCAUUCCAGGAUGAAGGACCCUUCCUGUCUUCCCCUCCACUCAGUGACAACUGAAGGAAUUCUGUGUGGUGAGAAUAUGACCAUGGGACACCUUAGAUGUCAAGCCUGUCCAUUUGGAUCUGUGGAUUGGAUUUUCUCUCCUCUCAUAUGAGCUCUUCAAAUAAAAGGAUUUGAGAAGCUGAAUGCUUUGGACAUGUAUUGUAGAGAUACAGAAAUGUAUGUGGACUCUGAAGCUGGACCACCAGUGUAACCCUAGCUCCAACAGGUCACUGGGCUUCUCAGGAGGGACCCUUGCCGGAGCCACUGACGUUGCCCGCUGUCCUGCAGUGCCUCCGAUUCUGUGGGCUGCACCCUGCCUGGGAAGACUCCCUCUCCCCCGCCACAGCUUGGGAGAGCUCUCUGUGGCUUCUGUGGGUGAUUGCCAGGUGACUGUGUGCCUCCCUACCCACCCUGGCCCUGAGCUCCUCGUUUGAAAAGUGGAGAAAGAGAGGGUUCACCGGCAUCUUCUUCAGAGUUCUUUUUAUUACCCAGAAUCUGUGUCGCUAAACAUAGUUUAAAUAGUAUUUAUGGCUAUACAUGUGCAGUGGUGAUCUCAUGGCCGUAGCAGGAGCAGGCGUGUGAGUAAAUGAGAGCCUGUCCAGCCUCAUGGAGCUCAUAUUUAGUAGAAGGGGUACAUUCUAGGAAAGGCUCUGUGGACCUGUCCCUCUCCUACAUCACACCUGGUGGAGCUUCCCUCGCCCCCAGUGACAGGUGCCCUAUGAGCCCUGUGAGUGGUCGGUGUCAAGGCGUCCCCUGAGCUAACUGCAAGGGAGGCCAAGGAUGCUCCCAGCCUCCAACCAGCUGCCACGUUUGGAGAGCUGCGCGCGAAGUCCCCAGAGAAGACUACUCUGUCCAAAAAACUGGAAACAAGGAUGCAGUACAGCUAUUUUCAUUUUGAUAGGGGGAAAAAAAAAAGUUGCUCAAAAGCCCUUUAUUGUUUUUGGAAUGGACCUGGCUUGGCCCUGUCUUAAGGCAAAGCUUACUUCCUGUCUUCGAUCUUCAGCAUCAUACUGACGAUACUGACGAUGACGAUGGAACCAAAAAAAGGAACAGCAACGAGAGUUGUCUCCUUGCAAAUCUCAAAUGAUGUGUGCAGAUACCUGAGGCUCACCACUGUCUCAAGAGUGGUCCUUGGGGAUCCCCACAGCUACAGGCAGGUCCGUGUCUGUAUCUCUAGAAAUGCAGGACUAGCCACCACUGUCAUGGAUUGGAGAAAGGGUAGAGGGUGUCAGCAUCAGAACCAGACGUCACCACAAAGUUCACAGAACUUGGACAGGAGCAUGGCAAGGCUUACACAUUCAUGACCUCUGCAGAGAGACCAUCCCUAUGGGGACAGGCAAUCAAACCUUGCUGCUUCUCUUUGGUGGUAAAACCCUGAGGGUUCCCCCACUUCUUUUUUCUUCCAGCCCCCAUUUUGUAAACAUCUGGUUGCUCCUUUGAGCUACGCAGGAAUCUGAUGAACAGGAUUGCUCUCUCCCUGCUCUGCUCUGUCCUGGGGCUCAGUCAUUGUGCACCCCUGGACUGCUUUGGAGGAUGAUUCUCCCCCGCCUGCCCCAUUUUCAAUACCCAAGCUUUUCCUAUAAUUUUUAUAAUUUUCUUCCUUACAAACUGUGCUUUCCCAAAGACUGGGAAAUAAAAACAUCAGGAAGAGAAAUAUGUAAGGUUAGGUAGAAGGAUGAUGGUCAGUGUUAAUCUUUCUGUGUUCUGUAUUUCUAAAAUUUCUAUAAUGAACAUCUUUUGUGUGUAUAAUAGGGAAAAUGGUCUGAUUAAAGGGAGUGGGGAGAUGUUGAGGUUGAAUAUUCUGAUCCAAUGUUGGUUAAGGAUCUGACUUCCCAAAGGUUUGUUAAAAGCCCUCUCUCCCUCCCUGGGGUAACAACCCAGUCCCCCCAGGUCAUGGGAUUAUCUUGUCUGGAGCUCCAGAUCUCUGUGGCUCCGACACUGACAGGGCUCUCCUGCUUCGGAGACUUGGCAUUUCUCUAGCUCCCCGGAAAGCUGCUGUGUUCCUUGGGGGUCCACGCCCCUGUCCAGCCCACGCCCACGUUCACAGCCUCCUACUGAGUCCAGCCACUUUGCCGCACAGGGCCCAUGGUGCCUGCCCCUCUAGGCUUCAGAGACGACAGCCCCAGAGUGGACGGCAUGCCUCACCUAAGGCAGCCAGGAUGGUUUCUACUGGGCACUUUUUCCGUGUGGUGUGUUUUUCUUUCUUUGGGAGCUCAUAAAAUUCCCCCGCCUGAACUGGGCCUCUUGGUCUUUAAUCUCUAGCCUCUCCUGGAGCUGUCCCUAUUUCUUUUUAAUUGUGCCUCCUUCUUUUAUGGAAGUUUCCUAUUGAAUUUUUAUGACAAUAUAGAGACGUGGGUAGACUCCAACAAAAAUGAAAUCUUUAUGGAAUAGUCAUUUCUCUCCCGGAGCGUCCUGACAAAUGUUCCUCUGUGGAUAUAUAUGUACAUAUCUGUGUAUUGACAGGGAGUGGGGGCAGCCCCUCUCGUCUUGGCUGGGGCUCAGCAGGCUGAGUGGCGGGCCGCUGAGCUGUUAUUAUUGCUGUGUUAGGACCGCUGGGGGAGUGGUGUGCAGCACGGCGGUGGGGGGUGCGGCGGGGGGUGGGGUGCAGUGUGAGAUAUGGACGAGGAGAUGUAAAUCUUCCUCAGGUACAAUCCCUUUGCCUUGGUGUCAGCCGAAUUAGCACCACUCCGUAAUCCCAAGCAAUUUGCCUACGUGACUGCCCCUGCGUGGGAAGGGGGGGGGCCCACUCACUUAGUUACCCCUUUUCCAGCACCUUGGCUCCCCAGCCUGGGCUAAGAAGCCUCUGUUCUUGGGCCCCAGGCCAUGUAUGACUGUCUGAGGUCACUGGCACGCUUCUCUUGGGUGAGCUUCACCAAGUGUGGUCUGGGGAUGGCUUGGGAUCCACAAAUGGCUCUCCAGAGGCCAGGAGCUAGGGUUGCCUUGGCCAGGCAUGAGUACUUGUGCCGGGAUAGGAAGGAACAAUUAUCCAUUUACAAAGAAGUAUUGGGAACCGCCCUCACUAAAUGUCUGGCCCAGAUCUGGGCACCAGGGUUUUCAAAGUCACGGUCCCUUGUCCUGUUCUGCUGAUGUUCUUCAAAAAGGAAACAGGCAAAAACCAAAUAAACACAUAAAUGAACGUGAUGAUUUUGGAUUGUGGCAUUUGCCUCAGAGCAAACGGGGGCAGGGGGAGGGCUGCUGAGGGAGAGAAAGUCCCUCCACCGUAGACUAUGGUCAGUGAAGGUGCCUGCUAAGACAAUACUGGAGACAGGGCAAGAAGAUGGGAGGCCAGCAUGCUCAGAUCAGGGAAGAGCAUUCCAGACAGAGAAACCAGCAAGUGCAAAAGCCCUGAGGCCAAACGCACUCCAGUUGUUGAGAAACAGAAUGAAGGUCAGUGUGGCUGAGUGGUGUGAGCCAGUGGAGGAGCAAAAAGAGAUAAGGCUGGAACAGGUUUGGGGGCUUCGUAAGCCUCCCUAAACUAAGAGCUCUUGGUUCGAGUGCAACGUGAACACUGAUUGCAGUUGGGUCUGACAGGAACUGAUAUUCAUUUUAAAGACACCAUUUUGACUUCUGUGCAGAGAAAUGGACUAUAGAAUUUUAUAAAAACCAAGGUGCCAAGGGUUCAGAACCUCAGAAAGGCAGAACCAUGCUUCAACUCUCCAGGGGAUUUAGGAGAAGGGACAAAGUGGGAGCGUUGUUUCUUCAGGUUGUUGGCUCAAGAGCUGUUGCCUGAAGCCGCAGGGCCUCCUACAUAACUUUUUCCCGGCCUGAGUUGUAAGGAGAACUGAGAAAUGAUAGCUGUGCUCCCCUCCCUGCAGAGAAUCAGCUUUCGGGCAAGAGCAAAGCAGUGUGGAUCUUACAUGUGAAUUUUGUUAAGGAGUAGAGUCUUCUAUGUGAGUGUGCCAGGAGGAACAGUCAUAAACAUCCUAAUAAGGAAAGAAAUGAACAUAUUUUAGUGCCCAGCAUGUGGCAGUCUCUGCCCCAUGUGUUAGGUCCUCUAACUGCCACAGAUACCCUGAAAAGUACUGCUAAAUGUGAGAUCUGAACCAGAGAGGUUAAGUAACUUACUCAACAUCACACAGCUAAGAGGCGAACUGGAGUUUGAAGUCAGGGCUGCCUGAUUCAAGUGCCCUUAUUUCUGUCUUUCACUCUGAUGACCUUGGACAAUAUCCACGUGCUGAGGAGUCAUUGGUCUCCCUCUGACAGAAGCUGUCAUGGUUUCUUAGAGACACUGGGGACCAUGGCAAGGUGAGGCUGGGGCACCCUCAGGAGAACUUGGUGCCUUCAGGAUUCCUCUCAGGCCCUUCUAGCCAUUGGCCCAUGAGUGCAGGGCCUGCCCGAGGCCUGAAGCUUUAAAAACAAACAAACAAACAAAAACAAAAAAACCUUGACUUUGA
Long non-coding RNA from Mustela erminea (ermine), 5394 nucleotides. RefSeq lists it as uncharacterized. The record is from RefSeq and is a predicted model, not a curated record. The transcript has 3 exons. Lineage: Eukaryota; Metazoa; Chordata; Mammalia; Carnivora; Mustelidae.